Molecule: long non-coding RNA, 389 nt
Organism: Mauremys mutica (yellowpond turtle)
Lineage: Eukaryota; Metazoa; Chordata; Testudines; Geoemydidae
Exons: 3
Source: RefSeq, a predicted model, not a curated record
GCCUCCAUGUCCUGCCCCUUCCCCCUGCACCAACUUCCCAGCUUCCAUUGGCCAGGAAUUGUGGCCAAUGGAAGCUGUGGGGGUGGUGCCUGUGAUCAGGAGCACCCAGAGAGUCCCUGGGCCCCCUGCCUAGGAGCCACUGCCAGAGGGGUGUGCCAGUUGCUUUCAGGAGCCAACCGAGGAGCUGUACAAGAGAAUUAAUGCAGCUUCAAGACUGAGGCGUUCUAUAUAAGAAAAGGGAAAACAGUCUCCUGCUUAAGCACAGGACUGGGAGAUCUCAGUGUGAACCUGGGUUUGCAGAACCACCCAGGAGACAAUGGCAGCUUGCAAAUGCUGGAACAGUUCUGAGGCUGAAGGGGUUCCCUGCCCACCACCCCCAAUCAGGAGAG